UACGGGGGGGGCCAGCGUUGUUCGGAAUUACUGGGCGUAAAGGGCGUGUAGGCGGCCCACUAAGUCAGACGUGAAAUCCCUCGGCUCAACCGGGGAACUGCGUCUGAUACUGGAGGGCUUGAAUUCGGGAGAGGGAUGCGGAAUUCCAGGUGUAGCGGUGAAAUGCGUAGAUAUCUGGAGGAACACCGGUGGCGAAGGCGGCAUCCUGGACCGAUAUUGACGCUUAAGCGCGAAAGCCAGGGGAGCAAACGGG
This 253-nucleotide ribosomal RNA is filed under the name uncultured Acidobacteriota bacterium. RNAcentral's name for it is "uncultured Acidobacteria bacterium partial 16S ribosomal RNA". It matches the Rfam family "Bacterial small subunit ribosomal RNA", at positions 524 to 776 of the family's 1533-position model. Lineage: Bacteria; Pseudomonadati; Acidobacteriota. The record is from RNAcentral.